GACUUGCCUUGUGGCUCAAAAAUGCCUUUUUUCUGUUAUGAUGUUCCAGUUUCAAAGCAGGUGGUGAAGGUGAAGCUGGUGAAGACCUCCUCCCUGGACCUCAGUGACCCUGCUGUGGCUGAAGCUCUGCUGAAGCAGUUGGAACAGAAGUUGAAGGACAGCGGAGUGGAUGGAGAAGUAAAGCUGAGCUGGAGGAGCCAACCAGAUGGACAGAUCUUCCACAAGGACAAAUAAGCUUCAAACAGGAAGACUUGUCUCCUUAAAAUACAUCCUGUCCUUUAUUCUUUAUUAAUCUGUUUAUCUUUUAUUUAAUGAUCAGAAUCCUCUUAAAGGAAGCAAGUAGUAUA
Fundulus heteroclitus (mummichog) is the source of this 347-nucleotide long non-coding RNA. RefSeq lists it as uncharacterized. The transcript is spliced from 3 exons. Lineage: Eukaryota; Metazoa; Chordata; Actinopteri; Cyprinodontiformes; Fundulidae. The record is from RefSeq and is a predicted model, not a curated record.